CAGUCGCCGCGGGAAUACGUAGGGUGCGAGCGUUAAUCGGAAUUACUGGGCGUAAAGCGCGCGCAGGCGGCGUGGUAAGUCAGAUGUGAAAUCCCGGGGCUCAACCCCGGAACUGCAUCCGAUACUGCCAUGCUAGAGGAUUGGAGAGGUAGCUGGAAUUCUUGGUGUAGCAGUGAAAUGCGUGGAGAUCAAGAGGAACACUCGUGGCGAAAGCGAGCUACUGGACAAUAACUGACGCUGAGGCUCGAAGGCCAGGGUAGCGAAAGGGAUUAGAUACCCCCGUAGUCCCUGUCUCUUAUAC
This 301-nucleotide ribosomal RNA is filed under the name uncultured bacterium. RNAcentral describes it as "partial 16S ribosomal RNA". It matches the Rfam family "Bacterial small subunit ribosomal RNA", at positions 509 to 807 of the family's 1533-position model. The record is from RNAcentral.